GACGAACGCUGGCGGCGCGCUUAACACAUGCAAGUCGAACGGGGCCCUUCGGGGUUCAGUGGCGAACGGGUGCGUAACACGUGAGCAACCUGCCCAUGCAUGGGGGAUAACCAAGGGAAACCUUGGCUAAUACCGCAUACGUUCCCCGGGUCGAUUGACCUGGGGAGGAAAGCUGCUGAAAGGCAGCGUGCGUGGAGGGGCUCGCGGCGUAUCAGGUAGCUGGUGAGGUAACGGCUCACCAGGCCGACGACGCGUAGCCGAUCUGAGAGGAUGAUCGGCCACAUUGGGACUGAGAUACGGUCCAGACUCCUACGGGAGGCAGCAGUGGGGAAUCUUGCGCAAAUGGGCGAAAAGCCUGACGCAGCGACGCCGCGUGCGGGAGGAAGCUCUUCGGGGUGUAAACCGCUGUCAGGGGGGAAGAACGGGACCGGGGAGGAAAUGCUCCGGUUUUGACGGUACCCCCAGAGGAAGCACCGGCUAACUCUGUGCCAGCCGCCGCA
Molecule: ribosomal RNA, 500 nt
Filed under: uncultured bacterium
Lineage: Bacteria
Description: bacterial SSU rRNA
Rfam family: Bacterial small subunit ribosomal RNA
Source: RNAcentral